UACGGAGGGUGCAAGCGUUAUCCGGAUUUACUGGGUUUAAAGGGUGCGCAGGCGGAUAUGAAAGUCAGUGGUGAAAUCUCCGGGCUUAACCCGGAAACUGCCGUUGAUACUAUAUAUCUUGAAUGCUGUGGAGGUAAGCAGAAUAUGUCAUGUAGCGGUGAAAUGCUUAGAGAUGACAUAGAAUACCUAUUGCGAAGGCAGCUUACUACGCAGAUAUUGACGCUCAUGCACGAAAGCGUGGGGAUCAAACAGG
Molecule: ribosomal RNA, 253 nt
Filed under: uncultured bacterium
Lineage: Bacteria
Description: partial 16S ribosomal RNA
Rfam family: Bacterial small subunit ribosomal RNA
Source: RNAcentral